This is a long non-coding RNA of Harpegnathos saltator (Jerdon's jumping ant), 161 nucleotides long. RefSeq lists it as uncharacterized. Lineage: Eukaryota; Metazoa; Arthropoda; Insecta; Hymenoptera; Formicidae. The transcript has 2 exons. The record is from RefSeq and is a predicted model, not a curated record.
ACUUCUCCGAGAAGUUUUAUCAGUGCAGCAGCGAAUGCCAGAACAGAUUUCCUGAGUAUUUUGUUAUAGACGCGACACGGAAAGGGAAUAAAAUAAAGUUCGCUAAUCAUUCGAUAAAUCCAAAUUGUUAUGCGAAAGUGAUGAUGGUGAACGGUGAUCAU